GUCUCCGGCCAUGCCACCCUGAACAAGCCGGAUCCCGUCUGAUCUCGGAAGCUAAGCAGGGUCGGGCCUGGUUAGUACUUGGAUGGGAGACCACCUAGGAAGACCAGGUGCUGUAGGCA
This 119-nucleotide ribosomal RNA is filed under the name Pteropus alecto (black flying fox). The record is from RNAcentral. Lineage: Eukaryota; Metazoa; Chordata; Mammalia; Chiroptera; Pteropodidae.